AUUGGGGCAGGGAUUCUAGGUGCCUCAGACCCUUGUAUGGAAGGUGGCAACAGCAGGACAGAUCAGUUAAUGAGUUUGCUGGCUGGGAUGCUAAUAGGAACAGCUAAUUUUAGAUGACUAUUAGAAGGUAUUAAUGGAAGCGACUUGCUACGUUUGAGGAGUCUCUGCAAAAUUCCCGGUCCUGAGAGAUGAAGGCUGCUUUUGUGAUGGUGGACAUCAAAGGAGAGUUUUGAGGAGAGAGUUGAAGGUGGAUAAUGAAGUAGCUCUGGCGUGUUUACCCCAAGUAUGUGGGGCAGCAUGAAGGAAAGCACAAAGGUGUUUGGAAAGUGAACAAGUGGUCUAAUGAAAUAUUAGAGGGAACAUAGGACGGCGCCCUAGCCUGCUUCCUGGAUGAUCAACCCUUCCUGGAGCUCUACACAGUUUGCUAGGAGCCCCACCCUGGCUGAGGGCCUGGGCCCCCUAAACCACUCGUGGCUACUCUGCCUAAGGGUUAAAGACUUCGACUGCACGGUGCCCCACCAUGCCUGAGGGCCUGGACCCCUGAACUGUUCACAGCCCUACUCUGCCUGUGAGUUGGGGCCGGAGACUGCUAAUUGCCCCAUUUGCUUCAGGAGCGUGUGGCAAAGGAGCGUAGCCUCCCUCAGAGACGACAGUGAGGGAGAGCCACACACACCUACACACUUACAGUGCUGAAAUUGGAUCUGAGUCUGUUCUCAGUUGCAUUGGGCUAGGGCAAUAUAUCUACAGGAUCUGGCUCAACAUGCUAAUGCCAUACAGUACAUGGAUGAUAAUGUAGUUAUCACCUACAAUCUCACUUUGACAGACAAUAGGGUUCAGAAACAUCAGGCAAACCUUUGUCCCACCCAGGUCAAGGGACUGCUCUUUUACAGAUGAAAGUGUAAUCUCGCAGCACUGCAGUGUUAUUUAACUACCUGGCAGUUCGUUGGUGCUUGAAUAGCUGAGCAAAGUGGAGUUUAGGGAAAGAUUUGCAAGAGGAGAAGGUGGUGGUUUUGCACACAAGGAGCAGGAUGCAGUCCUCAUCGUUUCAGUGAGCAUGGAAGAUAAGCAUGGAAAUGAAGUAGAAGAAACAUGAAGGAGGAAGAAAGAGAGAGGAAAAUCAGAGUGAGAGUGGAAGGGAUAUAAACCGUUCUGGGUAAAGUCUUAAUCCAAACUCUAAUUCUUGGGGGGUCAAGAGGAAACUUUCCCUGAGGGCAGGUUAUCCCAUCACUGCCACUAGAUGGAUCACUGAUCUGAACCAAUAUGGUAAAUCCUGUGUUCCUGUGCAAGAGGAUAGUGGUAAAGAAUGAGUCCGGUGAUGUAAACAGGAACAGAAGCUGAGGUUCAGCAGUUUGAAAUCCCAUAUUUAUGCUACACUCCUGCUGUCAUAUGCAUGUCAUGUUUCCUCCCAUUUUCUAUAUUUGGUUCUCAGCAUAAAUAACUUUAAUUUCCUUUCCUUUGUCAUAUGUGAAAACAGAUGUCAGAAUUCACAUAAGCUGUUAUGACUGCUCUGUGUGUGUGAGUGAGUGGGAGAGAGAUUUCUAGGACAGAAUUCUGCUUCCUUUACCAGCACUAGAAACCCCAAAAGACCAUUCAUAUGAGUUAGAUGAGCAGGAUGUGGUCCCUCAUUCAUUGUUCUAGCCUUGCAUGGUUUUGAGUAAUACAAACUAGUAAUUACUUGACGGCGAAAAUGCAACCAAGCCCCUUUGAUUGAGGAUUUGCUUCAUUACAAUUUCCUGCUGCAUUGGAUGAUAAAGACUUUCCACCUCUGUGCAUCUGAUGAUUUGGACCUACAUGU
Mauremys reevesii (Reeves's turtle) is the source of this 1795-nucleotide long non-coding RNA. RefSeq lists it as uncharacterized. The record is from RefSeq and is a predicted model, not a curated record. Lineage: Eukaryota; Metazoa; Chordata; Testudines; Geoemydidae. The transcript has 5 exons.